ACGCUCGACACCUACGGGAGCAGCAGUGGGGAAUAUUGCACAAUGGGGGAAACCCUGAUGCAGCGACGCCGCGUGAAGGAAGAAGUAUCUCGGUAUGUAAACUUCUAUCAGCAGGGAAGAAAGUGACGGUACCUGACUAAGAAGCCCCGGCUAACUACGUGCUAGCAGCCGCGGUAAUCUGAGGCGGGCUGGCAAGGC
Molecule: ribosomal RNA, 198 nt
Filed under: uncultured bacterium
Lineage: Bacteria
Description: partial 16S ribosomal RNA
Rfam family: Bacterial small subunit ribosomal RNA
Source: RNAcentral